GCUCCCUCUGCAGUGUCUGCUUGGACAUUCUGACUUUUUCCCGUACCACCUCUCCUUGCUUACUUCUGUGCAUUUCUACGCUCUCUUUUUCUUCCUACCCGGAGAUCUGUUUAUCCUGUCUCAGCAACAUUCUGCUUUACCUCAUGCGACUUUGUAGCCCUUACUGCUCCGUCCCCUCCCCCUCUCUCCUCCUAUUCAUUUGGCUGUCCUGGGUCUCAGUCGUGACGCGGGACCUUUGAUCUUCACUGCAUCACAUGAGCUUGCCCUUGCAGUCUGUGAACUCUUAAUGCGGCGUGUGGGAUCUCGUUCCCUGACCGGGGAUUGAACCCAGGCCCCCUGCAUUGGGAGCGUGGAGUCGUAGCCACCGGGCCACCAAGGAAGUCCCCGUGUCGCUCUUUAACUUGUCGCGGAACCUGGUUUUUUGUUGGCUCGACAGGCAGCAGAACUGCAAAAAGCCCCAACAUGCUAUUUUGGGAAAACCAAGUAAUUCUGCAGUCCUGAGUAUUCUAAGAUCCAGACGUGCCUUUCCAUCUGGGAGGAGAAGGUGCCUGUUCGGCAUGUAAACACAGAAUUCAAAGCCUCCAUAGAGAGACUGGGGUUUGCAAGAUUCGAAGCCAAUUGUGAUCGUCACGGACUGACUCAUCACACCUCUGCACACAAGCUGGAAUUUUGUCCCAGGCCACAGGCUCGGGAAAGGCUGUUGUGACUGCCGGGGAGCUCUCUGCCGGGGUUUCCACACCUCCCCCCAGACAAGGCUUGUGUCUCUAAAUCCCUUUUGGGGUGUUGCCACUGAGCCAACUCCAUCCGUCGCUGAGCCUGACUUUCACCCACAAGCGCGUGAAUCAACUGAUACAAAUCUGAAAAGCCCGGCGAGUGGGUCUGAGUGACCCCCUUAAAUUCAUCAGUGCAUCUGUGGGGUCUUCCGGUGCUUUUGGAAAAUCCUGAACCACAGCUCGUGCUUCUGGCCACAGCGUGUGGCUCGGCUCAGUCCAGUUCAAGAGGCUGAGAGACUUCAGGGCUGAUGCUUGAAAGAAGCUUUUCAGGGAGAUAAAGUGGAGUUGAACACGUGAGGGUUGAUAUGCACAGAACAGAGGCUUUUGCUUUCUUUGUCCUUUUCAUGGCGGCAGGAGGGGUACCACUCACUGUAAGAGCAUGUAUCUGCCCCUGCAGAGUUCCAGUCCGUUAUGUAAAGUAGUCUUUCUGCCAACCACCCCAGCCUGAAGCUCGACACAGUAACUAGACUAGCUAUUGUACAACUAUCUUUAAGACAACUUUGUCAGCUGAUUUAUUUUAAAAAGGUUAUUUUUAAAUCCCGUUCUUUUGACUAAAGAUUGUAUGUUUCCAAGAAUCCUUUGAAAAACUUCCGUCGUGAUGCUUACAGUUUUUUUCUAUAAUAGAUCGUUUUGGUGAUUAAGUUUGUCCCCUCUGACAGAAAACACAUCAGUGAAUUCCUAAGGUUCAGGGGGGAGUUUUUUGCAUAGGGUUUUAGGUACGGGGGCUACAGAGGAAAUCAGUCCUGCAUAUUCACUGGAAGGACUGAUGCUGAAGCUGAAACUCCAAUACUUUGGCCACCUGAUGGGAAGAACUGACUCACUGGAAAAGACCCUGAUGCUGGGAAAGAUUGAGGGCAGGAGGAGAAGGGGAUGACAGAGGAUGAGAGGGUUGGAUGGCAUCACCAACUCGAUGGGCAUGAGUUUGAGUAAGCUCUGGGAGUUGGUGAUGGACAGGGAGGCCUGACGUGGUGUGGUCCAUGGAGUCACAAAGAGUCAGACACAACUGAGCGACUGAACUGAACUGAACUACAGAGCUGUUCUACACUGAGAUUAUGGUGAUGAUUGCGUUUGUCAAACUUCACGGAGACUUUUAGGGAAUGUAAAUUCUACUUCAAUAAACGUGACCUUAAAACUUUAAAGAAAACA
This 1919-nucleotide long non-coding RNA is filed under the name Bos indicus x Bos taurus (hybrid cattle). RNAcentral describes it as "lncRNA (ENSBIXG00000008944.1)". The record is from RNAcentral. Lineage: Eukaryota; Metazoa; Chordata; Mammalia; Artiodactyla; Bovidae.